RNAcentral lists this ribosomal RNA (497 nucleotides) under uncultured bacterium. RNAcentral describes it as "partial 16S ribosomal RNA". It matches the Rfam family "Bacterial small subunit ribosomal RNA", at positions 28 to 507 of the family's 1533-position model. The record is from RNAcentral.
GAUGAACGCUGGCGGCGUGCCUAAUACAUGCAAGUCGAGCGAACGGACGAGAAGCUUGCUUCUCUGAUGUUAGCGGCGGACGGGUGAGUAACACGUGGAUAACCUACCUAUAAGACUGGGAUAACUUCGGGAAACCGGAGCUAAUACCGGAUGAUAUUUUGAACCGCAUGGUUCAAAAGUGAAAGACGGUCUUGCUGUCACUUAUAGAUGGAUCCGCGCUGCAUUAGCUAGUUGGUAAGGUAACGGCUUACCAAGGCAACGAUGCAUAGCCGACCUGAGAGGGUGAUCGGCCACACUGGAACUGAGACACGGCCCAGACUCCUACGGGAGGCAGCAGUAGGGAAUCUUCCGCAAUGGGCGAAAGCCUGACGGAGCAACGCCGCGUGAGUGAUGAAGGUCUUCGGAUCGUAAAACUCUGUUAUUAGGGAAGAACAUAUGUGUAAGUAACUGUGCACAUCUUGACGGUACCUAAUCAGAAAGCCACGGAUAACUACGUG